Glycine soja is the source of this 414-nucleotide long non-coding RNA. RefSeq lists it as uncharacterized. The transcript has 4 exons. NCBI's taxonomy places the organism in Eukaryota, Viridiplantae, Streptophyta, Magnoliopsida, Fabales, Fabaceae. The record is from RefSeq and is a predicted model, not a curated record.
UUUUCCUCCAUUUGAGUGUAUCAGUGUUUCAUGGAGGUGGUAACUGAUGAGAUAGGAUGGCUUGAUUUUUAUGGUUCAUAUGUUCAAAUAAAUUGCAAGGAGAAAAGGUCUAAACAUAAUGCUCGCCAGGCAGAGAAAGAGAUAAUUUCUUCUGUAGUGUUUACUGUGUGCUAUGAUGUUUUCUCUGGAUUUGCACACUUCAAUCGCUAAACUCAACAAUCAUUGGACACAGCUUCGCGCUCAUACUUGCUUCGUUGUCAGGGUUUGUUAAGUAUUUGUCUGCAAUAUCACUGGGCUGCUUAUGACAAUUCAGGUGAAUCACUAAAUACUGCGGAUCAUGCUGCAUUUGACAACCAUACAUCAUAUAUGGGAAGUAUAAAUGGACCCAAGUUACCUCUGGUGUUUGAAGUGCAG